This 4586-nucleotide small RNA is filed under the name Pongo abelii (Sumatran orangutan). Its description in RNAcentral is "sense overlapping". The record is from RNAcentral. Lineage: Eukaryota; Metazoa; Chordata; Mammalia; Primates; Hominidae.
AGAGUUCCGAUUGAAAUUUGAGAAGCUCUUUGCUAUUCAAGUGGAUAUGUGCAGUUGACAGUUUGAGAGAUGUAUCUAGGGUUCAGUAAGGACAACACAAGCCUGUCUUUAAGGUCUUUUUGCGAACUGUGAACACAGCAAUGGGAAUGAUGGACAUCACCUUAAAGUAUUUUUCUAGACUUUAUUACUCAUGUGUUUGUCAUGAGGUGUAACUUAGUAGUUCAUAGUCCUAUAAUGUAUGUUAUUGACUAGGUAGCAUUUAUUUUUCUAAUUCUGUUUCUGUUAUAGUGCUGCCACAUGUGUUUCCCAGAAACGCAUUUUACCCACAGUUCUUAGGGUUGGCCUGAUUAGUUUAAUUGCUGUCUCAACCUGCUUCUUACUGUGAUUAGUUCAGGAAUCUAGAUCAAACUAAUUGGCAUUCAACAUUUCAGGAAGUGAACUGAGUAACAACUGACUAACUCAGCAGGGGAGUGUAGUAUGCUAUUAUCUUUUGGGAAAGCAGCUUAUUUGCUUUCAAGAGGCAGCAGCGGGAUGGACUCUCUUUAGGUAUGAAGGCAAGAAUGAUUAUAGACAAUAUGCAGAGGAGGGCACAGUGUGGGAGAAUCAGAACUGAGCCACUCAUGGAGUUCAGCCAACCUUGGAUCCCUGCUGCACCUUUGGACUUCCAGUUAAGCCAAUUUGUCUGACAUAUUUACUUAUACCAGUUUGAAUCUUGAAAUAUUUCAGGAAUAAUAAUUUCCUAGAUACAAGGAAAGACCUUUCAUGAAAGGUCUCAAAGAAGUCAUAUAGGGUCAAUUAGGACGGAGUUGCUCCAAUUACAUAUUUGGAACAAAUGUCCAAAUGUUAAAAAUCAAUACUUGACUAAAGCUAAAGACUAAUAUUACCAUCACAGGAAGAAUGUCCAGAGGUUUUUUUCAGAUGUGAAAUUUUAUUUAAAAAUUUUAAAUAAACUAAAUCAAAAAAUUUUAGUAGUUGUAUUAAUUUCCUGGGGCUGUCAAAGUACCAUAAACUGUAUGGCGUAAAAAAACAAAGUUAUUCUUUCAUGGUUUUAGAGGCUAGAAGUUUGAAAUCAACGUGUUGGUAGCGCCAUGCUCUCUCCAAACCCAGUAGGGGAAGACUCCUGUCUUUCAGUGUCUGGUAGCCCCAUUUGUUCUUUGGUUUGUGGCAGCAUAACUGUAAUCUCUACCUCAGGUUUUUUCAUGUAUGUCUCCAUGUUUUCUUUUUUCUUUCUUUCUUGAGAUGGAGUUUCACUCUUGUUGCCCAGGCUGGAGUGCAAUGGCAUGAUCUUGGCUCACUGCAACCUCUGCGCCCCAGGUUCAAGCAAUUUUCCUGCCUCAGCCUCCCAAGUAGCUGGGAUUACAGGCAUGCGUCAGCAUGCCUGGCUGAUUUUGAAUUUUUGGUAGAGAUGGAGUUUCAUCAUGUUAGUCAGGCUGGCCUCGAACUCCUGACCUCAGGUGAUCCACCUGCCUUGGCCUCCCAAAGUGCUGGGAUUACAGAUGUGAGCCACUGCACCCAGCUGUCUCCAUGUCUUCUUAUAAGGGUAUCAGUCAUACUGGAUUAGGGCCCACCCUAACGACCUCAUUUUAACUUGAUUACAUCUGCAAAGACCCUAUUUCCAAAGCGGGCAAAAUUCUAAGGAACUAGGGGUUAGACUUCAACGUAUCUUUCGGGGGGACACAACUCAACCCAUAACAGUAGUCAACGGCUGUGGCAGGCUAAAUGUGGCUCCCAAAUAUGUCCAUAUCCUAAUCCCUAUAGCCUGUGAAUAUUACCUUAUAUAGCCAAGAGGAUUUUGCAGAUGUGAUUCUGAGAUUGAGAGAUUAUGCCAGAUUAUCCAGGUAGGCCCCAAAUGUAAUCACCACAGUCCUUAUAGGAGAGGCAAGAAAGUCAAGUGUAGAAGGAGGUGAUAAAAGCAGAGAGAGAUUUGAAGAUUAAUAGGCUGCUUGCUUUGAAGAUAGAGGGAAGGGACCAUAAACCAGAAAUAAACCUCUAGAAGCUGGAAAAGGCAUGGAAAUAGACCCUCCCUUAAGGUCUCUGGAGGGAGUGCAGCCUUGAUUUCUACCGAGUAAAACUGAUUUUGUACUUCAGACCUCCAAAACUGUAAGAGAAUAAAUGACUGUUGUUUUAAAACCAUUGAGUUUGUAGUAAUUUGUUGCAGCAGCCAUAAGAAACUAAUACAACAGCUAUAUAGAAUUUUUUCAAUAACUGGAGAAAUUUGAAUAUGGAUUGCAUAUUAAUAUUACUGAAUCAGCAUUAAAUUUGUUAGGUGUAAUAAUGUGAUUGUAGCUAUUUAGGAGAAUAUCCUGUUUUUAAGAGACAUGCCACCGUAUUUAGGGAGAAGUGCCAACAUAUUUGCAGUUUAUUUUCAAAUGGUUCAGGGGCUGUCUGUGUACAUGAGAAGACAAAGAUAAGGCAAAUGCAGCAAAAUCGUAAUAAUUGGUGAAUCCAGGUUGAAGGGACUAUGGCUGGUCUUUGUACUUUUUUUUCCCGACUUUUCUGUAGGUUUAAAAUUUUCAAAGUAAAAAAAUGGGAAAUACUUUAAAAAUUGUAAUCAAAGACAUUAUUAGUACAGAAACUUUCAUACAUCAAUGUAUUUCAUUUUUAUAGUAAAAUUAAUUUAUGUACAUUGAUAGAAUUUUACUAAUUUCACUCCCAAGUUAUAUUAAAAGUCUUAUAUAUGUUUGAUAAUAGCAUAUGUAAACUAGAACUCUGAAUGAUAUCCAUUGGUCAUAAUACGUACUAUGUAGCGGUAAUGGUGACUUUUGUGAUUGCACAAGUCUAGAGAUGUGCCAAAUGACAUUGACUUAGACAUCUGGUUAUUCUAAGGCUGAAACUGAAGUUGAAUAGAAGAUUUUAGUCAAAUACUGAGAUGAAAACUGAGGCAGUCCUGGCGGGGGGAGGGGAGAGUGUGUGUAUAUAUAUACAUACAUAGACAUCAUGCUUCUAAAUAUUUACAGAAAGAAAGCAUAGAUUAUCUACAAAAAAAUAAGAAUCAGACUGAUAUGAGAUCUUACAAACUGAUAUGAGAUCUUACAAACUGAUAUGAGAUCUUUUGAUUGAUUCUCUUUCCUAAACUCCAGAUUCUCAUAUUUAUGACUUCCUAUUUGAUAUUUACACUUCGAUAUUUACCAGGAGUCUUCAACAUUUUGUUCAAAACAGUACUCUUGGUUUUCUUUCUCCAAGACUACUCCUCACUCAUAUCAGCAAAUAGCAGCUCUUUUCAAGUGCUCAGUGUAAAAACCUACAAUUAAUCCUUGAUUUCUCUUUUAGUCAGCCUAUACUAAAUCAAUUUCAUUUAAAAUAUCUUGGCUACUACUCUGCAUCUUCACUGCUACCAUCUGCCUCUCCAGUCACAUUCUCCAAGAGCACUCUAUCUCAUUUAAAAGACAAAAUCUCUGCAAUGGCCUGUGAUGCUCCUUAAUGGCCUACAUAAUCCAGCCCUCAAGCACCUCCGUGAUCGCUGUAAAACUUUCCCUUGGUCAGUGUGCUUCAGCCACCUUAACCAGCUUGCAUAUUUCUUACAUUCACCAAGCUCGUUCCUGCCUUGGGGCCUCUGUAGUUACCAUGUUCUGUUCUGAGAAUACUCUGCCUCAAGAUAUCCUACAACUAUCUUACUGUAUUCAGCUUUCUGCUCAAGUAUUAACUGAUGAAACCUGUCAUCCCUACUCCACUCCAUGUUCUGCUUUACUUAACAGCAAUUGCACAUAUGGCCCCCUGAAUAAUAUACAUUUAGUCGCUUAUUUUUACUUAUCCACUAAUUAAAAUGUAGACUUUUUCUAUUCUGUUUACUGCUGUAUUCCCAGCAUGUUUUAUCCGAAUGUGCAGUGGUUUCUUUUCUUCUCCCUUAUCGUGGGAAGUGAUGUGCACAAAUACACAUAAUGGAGCCUGAAUGUCAUAUUGCUUUCAUACCUGUGUGAAUUUUGGUAAGAAAGGAAAAGUAGCGAUUGACAGGUAAUAUAAUUACAUUCAGUCACUCUCAUAGUUAGCUGUUUAUUGCUUUCCUGCUCUUAUUCUCAGUCCCCAGGACCAAAUGUUGACCACUACCUUCCCCCACAUAUAAUUAGGUUAUUUAUCCAAUGCCGUGCAGGUGCCUGUUAAAAUGAAGUUAUAUACUUACCUUAUAAACUCAACUUUUCCCUGUUGUCUUUCUGUCUCACCCCUACCUCCAUGCUUUAAAUUAACUUUUCAGGCUUAGGCCUUAUCUCUCAGUAGAGCCAUAUAAGGUAUGUGUAAAAAGCAGGAAAAUGUUUCCUGGGGAUGAAGCUUUGAAAAGCUUUUUUUUCUUUUUUUCUUUUGGCAAUAAAAUAAGGUAGAUUCAACACAAUACCUAAUAACUAAAAAAUCUGUUUUUAAUUGGGUGGGGCAGACAGCAAGUGUGUCAUCCUGGAAGAUACUAUUUGGGGUUUUAUGUAGGUAUAUAAGAGAAAAAAGUGAACAAAAGCAAGGGGCUACCAGGACGCUGCAGUAUGCUUAACAUGUAUUUUCUAAGUUUGUAUUAUGCCUUUAUCUUGGUUCUUUUAUCUUCUGUUCUCACUUGAUCUUUUUGAAAUGUAUUUUAAAUCCUAAAGUCCUGAAUUAAUAAAGGA